Molecule: ribosomal RNA, 459 nt
Filed under: uncultured bacterium
Lineage: Bacteria
Description: partial 16S ribosomal RNA
Rfam family: Bacterial small subunit ribosomal RNA
Source: RNAcentral
CUACGGGCCGCUGCAGUAAGGAAUAUUGCGCAAUGGAGGCAACUCUGACGCAGCCAUGCCGCGUGCAGGAAGAAGGCCUUAUGGGUCGUAAACUGCUUUUAUUUAGGAAUAAACCCUCGCUCGUGAGCGAGGCUGAAGGUACUGAAUGAAUAAGCACCGGCUAACUCCGUGCCAGCAGCCGCGGUAAUACGGAGGGUGCAAGCGUUAUCCGGAUUUAUUGGGUUUAAAGGGUGCGCAGGCGGGCUAUUAAGUCAGUGGUGAAAUCCCGGGGCUCAACUCCGGAACUGCCAUUGAUACUGAUAGUCUUGAGUUUGGUUGAAGUGGGCGGAAUAUAGCAUGUAGCGGUGAAAUGCAUAGAUAUGCUACAGAACACCAAUCGCGAAGGCAGCUCACUAAGCCAAAACUGACGCUCAUGCACGAAAGCGUGGAGAUCAAACAGGAUUAGAUACCCGCGUAGUC